Molecule: ribosomal RNA, 642 nt
Filed under: uncultured bacterium
Lineage: Bacteria
Description: bacterial SSU rRNA
Rfam family: Bacterial small subunit ribosomal RNA
Source: RNAcentral
CGGAGAGUUUGAUCCUGGCUCAGAUUGAACGCUGGCGGCAGGCCUAACACAUGCAAGUCGAGCGGUAGAGAGAAGCUUGCUUCUCUUGAGAGCGGCGGACGGGUGAGUAAUGCCUAGGAAUCUGCCUGGUAGUGGGGGAUAACGUCCGGAAACGGACGCUAAUACCGCAUACGUCCUACGGGAGAAAGCAGGGGACCUUCGGGCCUUGCGCUAUCAGAUGAGCCUAGGUCGGAUUAGCUAGUUGGUGGGGUAAUGGCUCACCAAGGCGACGAUCCGUAACUGGUCUGAGAGGAUGAUCAGUCACACUGGAACUGAGACACGGUCCAGACUCCUACGGGAGGCAGCAGUGGGGAAUAUUGGACAAUGGGCGAAAGCCUGAUCCAGCCAUGCCGCGUGUGUGAAGAAGGUCUUCGGAUUGUAAAGCACUUUAAGUUGGGAGGAAGGGCAGUAAAUUAAUACUUUGCUGUUUUGACGUUACCGACAGAAUAAGCACCGGCUAACUCUGUGCCAGCAGCCGCGGUAAUACAGAGGGUGCAAGCGUUAAUCGGAAUUACUGGGCGUAAAGCGCGCGUAGGUGGUUCGUUAAGUUGGAUGUGAAAUCCCCGGGCUCAACCUGGGAACUGCAUUCAAAACUGACGAGCU